Molecule: ribosomal RNA, 1542 nt
Filed under: Triticum aestivum (bread wheat)
Lineage: Eukaryota; Viridiplantae; Streptophyta; Magnoliopsida; Poales; Poaceae
Description: partial small subunit ribosomal RNA
Source: RNAcentral
AUGAGACCGAGCAUGGAGCCCAGGUUCGAGGCCUCCUUGUGCCUUCCCCCGGACGCCCUCGACAUCCUCUCCUCCGGCAGCACCGCCGUCCUUCCUAGUUGGGUCCUCCUCGACUCGCUAGCCUACAUGGUGCCCCCCGGCAGUGCAGUCCGUAACCACACCACCGCCCAAACCAUGAUGCCCGACGGCCGCACCAUUGAGGUAACCUUUCUCAUCGCCGAUCCCCCACGUCGCUCCUACUGGUGCGUCUCCGUCUGCUGUCCAGAUGCUGCUCCUCAUGGCGAUGGCAACCAAGAGCAAGAGCAAGAGCAAGAGGAGGAGGACAACCCCUUGGACUGCAUCCCCAAGGUGGUUUCCUUGGCGGACCACCUCGCCCUCAUCAAAGUCGGCUUAACAACCUGCAACCACUGGCUGUGGUUGGUCUACUCCGCCUCCGCCAGAGGGCCGCCGUCGCUCCUCCUGCUCCCGGACAUCCAUGACCAUCAACCGUUGAUGGAACCCUUGGGCAUCGUGCCGUCCUGUGAGUGUGACAACAAAUUAGGUGGCUGCAUUGUGGCUGCUCUCAGCUACAACUACCAGCAGGUGGAUCCUCAGUAUGACCUCCAUCUCUUCAGCUACCACGGCGAGGGCUCCACUUGGACUUGUACGCAGCAACACCUAUCGGUGGACUACGGCCAAACCAGGAGGCCCCGCCGUCUCUUUCCAACCAAGGUGAUUUCCCUCGGAGACGGGCUGCUAGGCUGGGUCGAUCUCUGGGAGGGGAUCCUCGUCUGCGAUGUGCACGCUGCUGCUGCUGCUGCUGCCGCCAAAGAAGGAGGCUCCGCCACGGCGCACUUCGUCCCCAUGCCAAGGCCGCUGCCCGGCAACCAAGACCUAUACCGCCAGCAUGAUUCCUCGGCGCGUCCGCUGCGCGACGCAACCUUCGGCCACGGUCACAUCAGGUGUGUGGAGAUCGAGCAGCUGGUGAGGCCCAAGCCCAGGGCAGCACCGGUCGUGCACGAUCCCUCCACCUUGCUUCUACUCUUGGAUUCACAGUCACCCAUGGUCCCGGAGAAAGACGAAUAUGAGGUCGUCGGUUGGCGGCUCAUCACUUGGUUUAGGGCGCUCACCUGGGGCCACUGGCAGCGAGGAGCCAUACUCCAUUCCGACGACCUGAUUGGAACAAGAGGAAAUCUGGCAUGGGAGGACCUGCAAACGUGCUCUCCCCUUCUCUGUGCCAACGACGACGACGCUGUUUUCCUCACGUCCAUGCUCAAAAAUCGCCCCCACCAAGACAAAACUGAUUGGAUCGUCACUCUUGACAUGAAAACCAAGUCGAUGACGAAUCAACCUAUGCCAUUCUCUGCAGACAGGGCUCCACAUGACGAUCCAACCCACAUCGCAUGCGGCCUCACCAAAUAUCUCACCUCACACGAUAUUGCCAACUCUGAUAAGUUGAACACGUCAGGGAAGAAGCGGCCGCGGCUUUCACAGGCAACUCAAGGGCAGCAACAACCUUUAAAAAAGCUCCUCCAGCCUUCUUCAUCAGGGACAGGGAAUUGA